ACAAACUUGGUCAUUUAGAGGAAGUAAAAGUCGUAACAAGGUUUCCGUAGGUGAACCUGCGGAAGGAUCAUCACUGAUUCGCGGGGUCUGUGUGUUCCUGUGUGUGCGCGCUGCGUGUAUAGCGCGCGCGCGCACAUAGCGAGCCGCCCCAAACCAAUCUUGUGUGCACCGUUUCACUGGUCAAAAGGGAUGACGUGUGGUGGCUGUGUGUGUUGGUGGUGGGAGGAGUGCGUGCGUGCGUGCGCGUAUCACAGCAAUGUGUGCCCGCGCGCGCUGCUGCUGCCCCCACCGACUGCACGCGCCCCGUCGUUCUAAAUUUAUACAAUAUAAUCUCUUGGUGUUAACUUUGUCUAACGCGCGUGCAUUACUUUAAAUAACACAUACAACUUUUAACAAUGGAUCUCUUGGCUCUCGCAUCGAUGAAGAACGCAGC
Molecule: unclassified non-coding RNA, 433 nt
Filed under: uncultured fungus
Lineage: Eukaryota; Fungi
Description: partial contains small subunit ribosomal RNA, internal transcribed spacer 1, and 5.8S ribosomal RNA
Rfam family: Eukaryotic small subunit ribosomal RNA (bases 1-73)
Source: RNAcentral